AACGAACGCUGGCGGCAUGCCUAACACAUGCAAAUCGAACGAGACCUUCGGGUCUAGUGGCGCACGGGUGCGUAACGCGUGGGAACCUGCCCUUAGGUUCGGAAUAACUCCCCGAAAGGGGUGCUAAUACCGGAUAAUGUCUUCGGACCAAAGAUUUAUCGCCUUUGGAUGGGCCCGCGUUGGAUUAGCUAGUUGGUAGGGUAAAAGCCUACCAAGGCGCCGAUCCAUAGCUGGUCUGAGAGGAUGAUCAGCCACACUGGGACUGAGACACGGCCCAGACUCCUACGGGAGGCAGCAGUGGGGAAUAUUGGACAAGGGGCGAAAGCCUGAUCCAGCAAUGCCGCGUGAGUGAUGAAGGCCUUAGGGUUGUAAAGCUCUUUUACCCGGGAUGAUAAUGACAGUACCGGGAGAAUAAGCUCCGGCUAACUCCGUG
Molecule: ribosomal RNA, 433 nt
Filed under: uncultured bacterium
Lineage: Bacteria
Description: partial 16S ribosomal RNA
Rfam family: Bacterial small subunit ribosomal RNA
Source: RNAcentral